UACGUAGGGUGCGAGCGUUAAUUGGAAUUACUGGGCGUAAAGCGUGCGCAGGCGGUUCGUUGUGUCGGUGGUGAAAUCCCCGGGCUUAACCUGGGAAUGGCCAUGGAAACUGGCGAACUGGAGUGUGGCAGAGGGGGGUGGAAUUCCGCGUGUAGCAGUGAAAUGCGUAGAGAUGCGGAGGAACACCGAUGGCGAAGGCAGCCCCCUGGGCUAGCACUGACGCUCAGGCACGAAAGCGUGGGGAGCAAACAGG
RNAcentral lists this ribosomal RNA (253 nucleotides) under uncultured bacterium. Its description in RNAcentral is "partial 16S ribosomal RNA". It matches the Rfam family "Bacterial small subunit ribosomal RNA", at positions 524 to 776 of the family's 1533-position model. The record is from RNAcentral.